Molecule: ribosomal RNA, 893 nt
Filed under: Haloferax volcanii
Lineage: Archaea; Methanobacteriati; Methanobacteriota; Halobacteria; Halobacteriales; Haloferacaceae
Description: bacterial SSU rRNA
Rfam family: Archaeal small subunit ribosomal RNA
Source: RNAcentral
CCGGAGGUCAUUGCUAUUGGGGUCCGAUUUAGCCAUGCUAGUUGCACGAGUUCAUACUCGUGGCGAAAAGCUCAGUAACACGUGGCCAAACUACCCUACAGAGAACGAUAACCUCGGGAAACUGAGGCUAAUAGUUCAUACGGGAGUCAUGCUGGAAUGCCGACUCCCCGAAACGCUCAGGCGCUGUAGGAUGUGGCUGCGGCCGAUUAGGUAGACGGUGGGGUAACGGCCCACCGUGCCGAUAAUCGGUACGGGUUGUGAGAGCAAGAGCCCGGAGACGGAAUCUGAGACAAGAUUCCGGGCCCUACGGGGCGCAGCAGGCGCGAAACCUUUACACUGCACGCAAGUGCGAUAAGGGGACCCCAAGUGCGAGGGCAUAUAGUCCUCGCUUUUCACGACUGUAAGGCGGUCGUGGAAUAAGAGCUGGGCAAGACCGGUGCCAGCCGCCGCGGUAAUACCGGCAGCUCAAGUGAUGACCGAUAUUAUUGGGCCUAAAGCGUCCGUAGCCGGCCACGAAGGUUCAUCGGGAAAUCCGCCAGCUCAACUGGCGGGCGUCCGGUGAAAACCACGUGGCUUGGGACCGGAAGGCUCGAGGGGUACGUCCGGGGUAGGAGUGAAAUCCCGUAAUCCUGGACGGACCACCGAUGGCGAAAGCACCUCGAGAAGACGGAUCCGACGGUGAGGGACGAAAGCUAGGGUCUCGAACCGGAUUAGAUACCCGGGUAGUCCUAGCUGUAAACGAUGCUCGCUAGGUGUGACACAGGCUACGAGCCUGUGUUGUGCCGUAGGGAAGCCGAGAAGCGAGCCGCCUGGGAAGUACGUCCGCAAGGAUGAAACUAAAGGAAUUGGCGGGGGGAGCACUACAACCGGAGGAGCCUGCGGUUUAAUUGGAU